GUGGCUUGGGACCGUGUGGAGAGUGCGGGCGCUGGACAGCAGCUCCGGCCCCUCACCGACGCGCAGCCCGCGCCUGGGCCGACCUGUUGACUGAAAAUCAGCCGGCGCUUGGCCAGAUGCGUCGAUGGAGGCCCGCAGCCCAGCGACGACGUGGUAGUCAUGGCUGAAGCGGCGCCUGCCCCGCCAAAUGCAGAGAAGAGCUCAUACCUCUAUUCCAUAGAAAUCACACUGUGGACCGUGGUGCCUGCUGUUCAGGCCUUGGAGAAGAAAAGUGGAUUCUUGCCUGGCCCGCUUGCUGACUCUGGAGGGAUGCUCAGGGACAGCAGAGAAGAAGCUGGCUGACUGUGAGAAGACAGCUGUGGAGUUCAGCAGCCAGCUGGAGGGCAAGUUGGCCGUGCUGGGGACCCUGCCUCAGGAGUCUAGGCUGCUGCAUGAAGAACCUCAUGGGCAACUGGAACUUCUGGGUCCAGCGGCUUCCCCCUGGCAACAAGGGGGAGGUCCCCAAGAGUGGGCCAAGCUGGAGGACUGGCAGAAGAGGCUCGACAAGCAUGUGAUGGGGGCAGCUAUGAGAUGCUCGUUUCCCUGGAUUAUGCCAUCUCCAAACCGGUCAUUCUCACCCAGAUAGAGAGGGGAGAAGAGCCUUGUCCUGCAGGCCCCUGGGGCCAGGAGAAGGGGGGUGAGGAGAAGACAAUAUGUCAAAGGAAACCAAACACCAGUAUUUCUCUGAGUCCAGAGCAGGCCCCAAGUCCAGCUAGCCCUGCCCAGGAGGAACUGAAUCAAAGGCAGACACCUGAGCAGCAGCAAGAGGAAGCAACCAUGAUUCCACCUGAGCCAGGCACUGGGAUUCCAGCAAGCACCAGCCCUUUAUCACUUAAACAGGAGGAAGAAUCUGCAGAGGGAGGAGAGUUGCCACCCUCCCCUUCCACAGAUAGCCUGCUUUCUGUGGAGCCAGGGAAGUCCAGCCCUGCAAGGGCCCAGCUCUGAACAGGACAGGACCUGCACUGUCUCAGGGCCUUUCCCUUGUGCCUGCCAAGUGGUGGAAGUUCCUUCACUUUCCAGCUGAGUUGGUACUUUAGGGGCCCUUCAAAAGCACAAGCUCCAGACCAGGAAUUUGAGGUGAUAGUGUCAUGCCUCAAAGUCAUGAGAGCGGGUGCUUCAUGUGCCUCUUUGUCACAGCACCUUGGGGACAGCCUUGUGGAGCUUCUGGAGCUGGGUGAUGGAUUCCAAUUCUGAUAGUUUGCUCUCUUGUUUGGCACUCAGACACCAGAGCACAUGAAGGCUCCCAGGUGCCUUCAUCCCUGGCUGUGCUAUUGCUAAAGUCCUGCAGACUCUGUAGCCACUCAGAAGUCCUGCACAGACGAGGCAGAGGGUGACACUGCCGUCAUUCCCAGGGUAGGGGUAUGACUGGCAAGACUGUGGCAUGCAGCCAUGGUUCUGGACGUUACUUGCCUGCACACCCAACCGUUGUUUAGGCCCUGCAAGCAAGACAGCAGUUGUCAGUAAGCGCUCAGACUGAACGUGGACAGUAUAGCUGCCCCAAACUUAAUCCUCCGCUGCAAGCACUCAUGUUGCUGUUCUGGGGGUUCCUAGGCCUCUCUUCUAAUGCUUUAGAUGUUCUCUGGAAAACAAGUAUUCAUAUUUGAAGCACAAAUCCAAGUGCUGGGGUGGGGGAAGAGGCGCUGUAUAAUCCUGGCUCGCCUUGGGCUUGCAGUGAAUUUUUUUCCCCUACCUCUAUCUACCUACUAGGAUUUCCUUGCUUGUGCCAUUAUGCACAACUGGGCUUACUGCAUUUAACCUGAAAUUCAAUAGGACAGGUUAAAGAGUAUUUUGAGUUAAGAAUGAACAAAGGCUGCAUGGUUGCCUGAGCUCAAAGACGUUGGAUCCCAGAUUCUGAUGACUUAUUUUGUAAAACAAAGAUAUGGUUGGGUUGGUUACAAGGCCCUAAGAACCAUGGAGGUGGAAAUAUUAACUUAAUCGGUGCUCUAUAAAUACACUGGAAAAUGUA
RNAcentral lists this long non-coding RNA (2005 nucleotides) under Mus musculus (house mouse). RNAcentral describes it as "zinc finger protein 783". The record is from RNAcentral. Lineage: Eukaryota; Metazoa; Chordata; Mammalia; Rodentia; Muridae.